CCUGACCAAUUUAUUAGUGUCUAAGAAAAGUAAUGGAGAGACCCCCACUCAUCUUAACUUAUCUGACCAUUUUGGAAGAUUAAGUUUUGAAUUAGGUUACUUGUUGAUUCGAGUUCACCCAUAUCAACUAGGUAGGUCAGACAUGUGAAUGUGCUGAUCUGAACUUGAUCAAUCAGAUAUCAAAUCAGAUGAUUUAGAAGAGAUCUAAACUUAAAUCUUCUUACUAAAUAUUAAGUCUAGC
Molecule: long non-coding RNA, 241 nt
Filed under: Elaeis guineensis (African oil palm)
Lineage: Eukaryota; Viridiplantae; Streptophyta; Magnoliopsida; Arecales; Arecaceae
Description: long non-coding RNA (EGUI_LNC078586)
Source: RNAcentral